UGCCAAAAGUAGUCACUUUGAUUUGAUUUGCCUUGAAUGAAAUUUUUAAAAUGUAAAGCUAAAGUCUUCAGGAUCACUGCACUGGGUUUCUAUGGGACAACACUGAACAGGGCUGCCACUGAAACACCUUGGAUGAGAGCCUCAAACUCCCUGAACACAGCAUCCAGCACACUACUGGGAGAAUGACUGGGACUCAAAAAUGUGUGCAAUGAAUGUACUUAUGAGCUUGUUGGAGAGGAAGUAAAGAGGUUGUAUGUAAUUACCUCAAAUUAGUACUACUACAGAAUAAUCAGUACUGGUAAAGUAAAAGUAGUGCUAAAGUAGUACUAAUAAAGUAGUACUAAUAGCCCUACACUAGUAGUAGUAAUAAAGUGGCAUUGCUAUUGAUUCUAUCCAUCUAUCUACCUACCUGUCUGGAUGGGAGGGCACAGGAUUUGACUGAUAAGAUUAGGCUUAGCAGUGAAAAGAGCUCAUGUAUGCUUUAAGCAGGUAUGCACUCAAACUUGGUAUCAUGUGACUGUUCUGAAUUCCAGAACCAUGGCUAAAGGGUGGAAGUUUUGUUUGACUGUGUCUCACAUUUUCCUUUUGGUCUAUUGUCUAACACAUGUUGCUAGAAUUCAUUUUACUCUGACUACCUUUUAUGUACAGACAACGCUGUUAUUGAAGAGAUCACACCCAAGCGGAUCAGAGAUUGGCCCAAUACUUACACCUACACCAAGGCCUUGGGAGAAAUGGUGGUGCAGCAGGAGAGCAGGAGCCUAACCAUCGUCAUCAUAAGGCCCUCCAUUGUGGGAGAAAUGUGGCAUAAGCCUUUCCCAGGUUGGGUUGAUAAUCUAAAUGGACCUAGCUGACUCAUUAUCGCGGUAUGUAUAGGGAUGAAGAAAUAACUCUGAAACGUAGUGGAGGAAUAGUAACAGAAUUCUUAGUGCUGGCUUAGCUUCAUUGAUCCAAAAACGUAAAUGCUACUUUACUAUCAA
Molecule: non-coding RNA, 977 nt
Organism: Chlorocebus sabaeus (green monkey)
Lineage: Eukaryota; Metazoa; Chordata; Mammalia; Primates; Cercopithecidae
Source: RefSeq, a predicted model, not a curated record